Non-coding RNA from Oryctolagus cuniculus (rabbit), 5542 nucleotides. The record is from RefSeq and is a predicted model, not a curated record. NCBI's taxonomy places the organism in Eukaryota, Metazoa, Chordata, Mammalia, Lagomorpha, Leporidae.
AUGGCGUCCGGGCCUCACCCGACCUCGACCGCUGCCGCCGCCGCUGCCGCCGCCUCUUCGGCCGUCCCGAGCGCGGGCGGCUCCAGCUCCGGGACGACGACCACGACGACGACCACCACGGGAGGGAUCCUGAUCGGCGACCGCCUGUACUCGGAAGUUUCGCUCACCAUCGACCACUCGCUGAUUCCGGAGGAGAGGCUUUCUCCCACCCCGUCCAUGCAGGACGGGCUCGACCUGCCCAGCGAGACGGACUUGCGCAUCCUGGGCUGCGAGCUCAUCCAGGCCGCCGGCAUUCUCCUCCGGCUGCCGCAGGUGGCGAUGGCAACGGGGCAGGUGUUGUUUCAUCGUUUUUUCUACUCCAAGUCUUUUGUCAAGCACAGUUUCGAGAUUGUUGCCAUGGCUUGUAUUAAUCUUGCAUCCAAAAUCGAAGAAGCACCUAGACGGAUAAGAGAUGUGAUUAAUGUAUUCCACCAUCUACGGCAGUUAAGAGGAAAAAGGACUCCAAGCCCCCUGAUCCUUGAUCAGAACUACAUUAACACCAAAAAUCAAGUUAUCAAGGCAGAGAGGAGGGUGCUAAAGGAGUUGGGAUUUUGUGUUCAUGUCAAGCAUCCCCAUAAGAUCAUUGUUAUGUAUUUACAAGUCUUAGAAUGUGAACGUAACCAAACCCUGGUUCAAACUGCCUGGAAUUAUAUGAAUGACAGUCUUCGAACCAAUGUUUUUGUUCGAUUUCAACCAGAGACUAUAGCAUGUGCAUGCAUCUACCUUGCAGCUAGAGCACUUCAGAUUCCACUGCCAACUCGUCCCCAUUGGUUUCUUCUUUUUGGUACUACGGAAGAGGAGAUCCAAGAAAUUUGCAUAGAAACGCUUCGGCUUUAUACCAGAAAAAAGCCAAACUAUGAAUUGUUGGAAAAAGAAGUUGAAAAAAGAAAAGUAGCUUUACAAGAAGCCAAACUGAAAGCAAAAGGAUUAAACCCUGAUGGAACUCCAGCCCUUUCAACCCUUGGUGGAUUUUCUCCAGCUUCUAAACCAUCAUCCCCAAGAGAAAUAAAAGCUGAAGAAAAGUCACCAAUUUCUGUUAAUGUGAAGACAGUCAAAAAAGAACCUGAGGAUAGACAACAGGCUUCCAAAAGCCCUUACAAUGGGGUAAGAAAAGACAGCAAAAGAAGUAGAAAUAGCAGAAGUGCAAGUCGAUCAAGGUCAAGAACACGAUCACGGUCUAGAUCGCACACUCCACGAAGACAACUUGGCUCUACAUGAUUUGCUGCUGUUUCCAAAAAAUUCAAAUACACACACACAAGGAGGUUUACUGCCACUAAGGAUGUUUAAAAAAAGUUACAGCUUCGGAAGAGGAUGCCAAAGAUGACUUCCAGAUGUGUUCCUCACUGGCAGGCAGUGGUGCUGGUAGGAUAGCUUCACAAGGCGACCACUCUGAAGCAAACGAUUCAUUUGGAUGUAAAAGUCUGGCAGACGAGAUCUUCCAUCUGCUGGCUCACUCCCCAAAUGCCUGCAACUGACAGGCGAAGCCCAGGAACCUGGAACUCAGUCCUGGUUUCCCACAUGGAUGGCGGAGACUCAGGUACUUAAGCUAUCAGCUGCUGCUUCCCAAGGUGUGCAUAGUAGGAAGCAGGAAGUGGAAACAGAAGGUAGGACUAGAACCCAGGCAGUCCACAAGAUGUGGGCAUCAUGCCUGCUGUGCCAAACACUGGCCCCGUGUGAUAUUGUUAAGGCCAGUUUUUAAAAAAUGGAACUUGAAGUGUAGGAAUAGUGAGGGGCUUAGUUUAGCUGGAGAGAUGGAGAAUGUACAUGGGAUUUAAUCAGGAAAACCACUACUCCAUUUGAAAACUGGGAGCAGUAUUCAUGUGUGCACAUUGAGCCCCUUAUAUCUGGAAGCCACAUCUUGACAUUAAACAUUUGAACUUUGUCCAUCAGGGAAAUGGAAAGAACAUGGGCUUCUAUGUCAGCUCUGCAUUCAGAUCAUUAUGUGACUUUGCAAGGUAUUUAACCUCUUGCUACAAACCGGCCCUUAAAAUGGCAUUUUGUAGGUUGUGUAUGGAGCAUGUGGGAGGGAUUUCUAUUUUUAACUGUUUGCCACCCAAAAAGAGUUCAUAUUAGAAGCACCUAACUACUCAGAGAAGUUUGAACUUUCCAUUUCUUAGGAACAUAAUUCAAGAGAUGCCAUGGGGCAGGUGUUUACAUAGUCUAGUGGUUAAGACUUGGUAGCCCCGCCGGUGCCGCUGCUCACUAGGCUAAUCCUCCGCCUAACGGCGCCGGCACACCGGGUUCUAGUCCCGGUUGGGGCGCCGGAUUCUGUCCCGGUUGCCCCUCUUCCAGGCCAGCUCUCUGCUGUGGCCAGGGAGUGCAGUGGAGGAUGGCCCAAGUCCUUGGGCCCUGCAUCCCAUGGGAGACCAGGAUAAGUACCUGGCUUCUGCCAUCAGAUCAGCGCGUUGUGCUGCGCUGGCCGCGGUGGCCAUUGGAGGGUGAACCAACGGCAAAGGAAGACCUUUCUGUCUCUCUCUCUCCACUCUGCCUGUCAAAAAAAACACAAAAAACAAACAAACAAAAAAAAACAAAAAAACCUGGGUAGCCUUGUGUCCCCAUAUCAGAGUGCCUGGUUCAAACCUUGGCUCUUGCUGAUUCCAGCUUCCUGCUAAUUCAGACCCUGGGAGGCAGCACAGCAGUGAUGGUUCAAAUAAUUGGGGUCCUGCCACCGACUCAGAAGACCUCGAUUGUGUUCCCAGCUCCCCGCUUUUGCCCCAGCUUCAGCUGUUGAGGGCAUCUGGGGAGGGAACCGGCAGAUGAAUACUUUGUAUCUCUGUGCCUCUAAAAUAAAUUUUUUUUUGGAAAAAAUAUGUUUCAAGAUGCUAGUUGAUUGAGAUCUGAUUUUGCACAAUACAAGGCUUUCACAAUUAAAAAAUGAAAAUACUGCUUGAGAUUUUGGGUUCUCAGUGUCCCUUUGGACUUUCUGCUUUUCUCACCUAUGUGUAGUAUAAUUCCAACCCAGUGCUAAGUACACAGGAAAUUCCUACCCUGCCUACUUGUACACCUACUGAAAUCCCCUUAGAUCCACUGUCACCUUUCUAGUAUGGGUAGUGGCAUUUCUUCCUCCCUACCCCUCCCCCCUUUCUUUUUCUUUCUUUCUUUUCUUCUUUUAAAGAUUUAUUCACUAUAGAGAGGUCUUCCAGCGGCUGCUUUCACUCCCAAAUGGCCACAAUAGUUGGGCUGAGCUGAAGCCAGGAGCCAGGAGCUUCUUCGGGUCUCCCACAGGGGUGCAGGGGCCCAAGCAGUUGGGCCAUCUUCUACUGCUUUCCCAGGCCAUAAACAGAGAGCUGGAUGGGAUGGGAAGAGGAGCAGCUAGGACAUGAACUGGCGCACAUAUGGGAUGCCAGCACUGCAGGCAGAGGCUUAGCCUACUGCGCCACAGUGCUGGGCCAGGCAUUUCUUUCUAGACUCCUUUGCCACAAUCUGUUCUUCAAAGUAGCUAAAAUGAUCUAUUUAGAAUGUCACCACCUGUUACUAUAAUACAUAAUGCCUCCAAUGGUUUCCCAUUUAACUUUGCAUAAAACACAGCACUUCCAGUCACUCCCAUCGGUUCCACGUUUUCUCACUCAUGCACAUCGGUCUCUGAGCCUUUGCACUCGCAGGCCUCCCUGCUUAGAAUGCUCUUCUCCCAGGUUUCACGUGAUAGGCCCCCACUCCGAAGUCCUGCCUCCAGUGGGGGCUUUCACCACCCUGUCUAAAAUAAGUUCCUCUAGACUCCCCUGUCACACCCGUCGGCCCACACUGGCUUUUUCCUAAGGCUUACCCACCAACAAGCUGUUUUACUAAGACAGUGGCAGGGAUGGGGCUUCCUCCUUACUGUAUGCCCCUCACCUAAUCUUGAAGUAUCAGACCCACGUUGGAGUAUGUACUGAACACUACCUGAGGGAUGAAUGAAUGCCAUAUCCUGCCAUGCCCUGACACUUCUAAGCCAUCACUGUUACUUGUGCUUUCCUGUUUCAAAAUCUGAUAUGUGUUCCUUCUGUAAGUGAAUUUAUUCAUUUUGCAAAAGUAAGAAUGGGUUCCAAGAGCUCAUGGUCUAGAGCCCAGGGAAGCAGACCCAUGGGCCUUGGGUCAAAUCCAGGCCUAUGCAUGGUUUACAUGUAUCAUGUUUCUUUUCAGUGAAUCACUGGCUGACUUUUUUUUUUUUUUGUAACUUAAUACAACUUAAAUUCAUUCUGUAGCUGACAUUUUUAAUUGGAGACAGUCACAUUAAAAGCCUAGACUUGAAGCUGCUGUUUACAGAGACCCACAGUCCCUCAAGGCAGCAGCGGUGGACGGGCGCCAGGUGACCCUCUGAGAAAGGUGUCCGUGCCCCUGUGCUGGAUGACCGGUCACCCUGCUGCCUGCAGUCACUGCAGCCAGGUGUCAGUGUGGAGCCUGCCUGGAAUCCUGCUCCUUUCAUUUCCUGAUCUUGGCAAAAGUCUCAAGACCUGUGACCCUGUCACUGUACAGGCUGCUGAGUCAACUGAAAAUCAGAUCGAUUCCUGUGUCCAGCACCUCUCCAAUGUGUUUGAACCUUUCCAAAUUUUUAAAAGGUUUAUCUUACUUACCUGAAAUGCAGAGUUACCGGGAGAGAGAGACAAAAAAGAGAGGUCUUAUUAUAUCCGCUGAAUCAUUCCCCAAAUGGCCACAAUGGCCGGGGCUGAGCCAGACCAAAGCCAAGAACUGGGUAUCCCGUGUGGGUGCAGGGGCCCAAGCACUUGGACCGUCUUCCACUGCUUUCCCAGAAGCAUUAGAAGAGAGCUAGAUGGGAAGUGGAGCAGCCGGGACUCAAACUAGCUCCCAUAUAGGAUGCCAGUAUUGCAGGAAGCAGCUUUACCCACCACACCACAGUGCCAGCCCCAAAGCUAGAAUUUUUUACUUGAGCAACUCUUACAUUGCUGGAGCACUUAGAGAAAAAUUUCACAAACUGAUUUAUUGUAUUUCCAUAGAGCAAAUAAUACAUGAGAUCUUUGUCCAGAGCACAAGGCACAUCACAAGUCUAAGAUUCACAAGAGGAUGGAACAUCUCUCCCUUGGAAAAGGAAGGCUUUCAGAAGUUAAACUCAGUUUACUGACUAAACCCCCUGUGCAACACAAUAAAAAAUAAAAUCUCUUAUCUGGCUUCAGAACUGGCAAGCAACUGUGGUGGGGAGCACUUCCUAAAUAUUCAUUGAUGAUGAACGUGUGGACAGGCGAAAGAACCGUGUCGCCAUUUCAGGAGGCCGUGGGAGACGCUGGUGAUGGAAGCAGGACCUUAACUAGCUCUUGCAAAUUGCGGCCCAUUCAGCUGGUCACAGUGGACUCGAACAAGGGCCUGCAGUCUGGACUGGGACUGCUCUUAGGAAGAGCAGAGCAAACUGCAGCACUGGGCGGGGUGUUUAAACAACCAACUCCCCAGAACGUCAAAGCUGAUGAGACUCAGUGACUCCACCCUGUGGGAGGAAAACAAAAACAAAAACCCAUCCUGUUUCACUCUGCGUUGGAAGCAAGGCGACGGCCAUAAACAGAACCGGUUAAAGUGG